RNAcentral lists this ribosomal RNA (1312 nucleotides) under uncultured bacterium. RNAcentral's name for it is "16S ribosomal RNA". It matches the Rfam family "Bacterial small subunit ribosomal RNA", at positions 91 to 1415 of the family's 1533-position model. The record is from RNAcentral.
GAUAGCGGCGGACGGGUGAGUAACGCGUGGGCAACCUGCCUAUAACUGGGGGAUAACACAGGGAAACUUGUGCUAAUACCGCAUAACAUCAUGAAAGGACAUCCUUUUAUGAUCAAAGGAGCAAUCCGGUGAGAGAUGGGCCCGCGUCCAAUUAGCUAGUUGGUGAUGUAACGGACCACCAAGGCGACGAUUGGUAGCCGAACUGAGAGGUUGAUCGGCCACAUUGGGACUGAGAUACGGCCCAGACUCCUACGGGAGGCAGCAGUGGGGAAUAUUGCGCAAUGGGGGAAACCCUGACGCAGCAACGCCGCGUGAGUGAAGAAGGCCUUCGGGUUGUAAAGCUCUGUCGCAGGGGAAGAAAAAAAUGACGGUACCCUGUGAGGAAGCCCCGGCUAACUACGUGCCAGCAGCCGCGGUAAUACGUAGGGGGCGAGCGUUGUCCGGAAUUACUGGGCGUAAAGGGUGCGUAGGUGGCCUAGCAAGUCAGAUGUGAAAUCCCCGGGCUUAACUCGGGGGGUGCAUUUGAAACUGCCAGGCUUGAGUGCAGGAGAGGAAAGCGGAAUUCCUAGUGUAGCGGUGAAAUGCGUAGAUAUUAGGAGGAACACCAGUGGCGAAGGCGGCUUUCUGGACUGUAACUGACACUGAGGCACGAAAGCGUGGGGAGCAAACAGGAUUAGAUACCCUGGUAGUCCACGCUGUAAACGAUGGAUACUAGGUGUGGGGGGUAUCGACCCUUCUGUGCCGCAGCUAACGCAAUAAGUAUCCCGCCUGGGGAGUACGGCCGCAAGGCUGAAACUCAAAGGAAUUGACGGGGACCCGCACAAGCAGCGGAGCAUGUGGUUUAAUUCGAAGCAACGCGAAGAACCUUACCAGGUCUUGACAUCCCUCUGACCGGUACAGAGAUGUACCUUCCCCUUCGGGGCAAGGAGACAGGUGGUGCAUGGUUGUCGUCAGCUCGUGUCGUGAGAUGUUGGGUUAAGUCCCGCAACGAGCGCAACCCUUAUCAUUAGUUGCCAGCGGGUAAUGCCGGGAACUCUAAUGAGACUGCCGGGGAUAACUCGGAGGAAGGUGGGGACGACGUCAAAUCAUCAUGCCCCUUAUGUCUUGGGCUACACACGUGCUACAAUGGCCUGAACAGAGGGGCUGCGAAGCCGCAAGGUGAAGCGAAUCCCAUAAAGCCGGUCUCAGUUCGGAUCGUGGGCUGCAACCCGCCCACGUGAAGCCGGAGUUGCUAGUAAUCGCGAAUCAGCAUGUCGCGGUGAAUGCGUUCCCGGGUCUUGUACACACCGCCCGUCACACCAUGGGAGUUGGU